Molecule: ribosomal RNA, 274 nt
Filed under: uncultured bacterium
Lineage: Bacteria
Description: partial 16S ribosomal RNA
Rfam family: Bacterial small subunit ribosomal RNA
Source: RNAcentral
AUACGGAGGGUCCAAGCGUUAUCCGGAAUCAUUGGGUUUAAAGGGUUCGUAGGCGGGUCAAUAAGUCAGAGGUGAAAUCUUGCAGCUUAACUGUAAAAUUGCCUUUGAAACUGCUGACCUUGAAUUACCGUGAAGUGGUUAGAAUAUGUAGUGUAGCGGUGAAAUGCUUAGAGAUUACAUAGAAUACCGAUUGCGAAGGCAGAUCACUAACAGUAUAUUGACGCUGAUGAACGAAAGCGUGGGUAGCGAACGGAAUUAGAAACCCCGGUAGUCC